This 164-nucleotide ribosomal RNA is filed under the name uncultured bacterium. RNAcentral's name for it is "partial 16S rRNA". It matches the Rfam family "Bacterial small subunit ribosomal RNA", at positions 355 to 511 of the family's 1533-position model. The record is from RNAcentral.
UAGGGAAUCUUCCACAAUGGGCGAAAGCCUGAUGGAGCAACGCCGCGUGUGUAAUGAAGGGUUUCGGCUCGUAAAACACUGUUGUAAGAGAAGAAUGACAUUGAGAGUAACUGUUCAAUGUGUGACGGUAUCUUACCAGAAAGGAACGGCUAAAUACGUGCCAA